GUAGUACUUCCUCCUUCAGAAUUAUUUGUCAUAGAAAUGGAUGUACUUAAAUAUAUUUUAGUUUUGGAUACAUUUUUAUUUAUUUUGAUGACAAAUAAUUUCGUACGGAGGAAGUAUAUA
RNAcentral lists this microRNA precursor (120 nucleotides) under Hordeum vulgare. Its description in RNAcentral is "microRNA MIR1122". It matches the Rfam family "MIR1120/MIR1122 microRNA precursor family". Lineage: Eukaryota; Viridiplantae; Streptophyta; Magnoliopsida; Poales; Poaceae. The record is from RNAcentral.